Sinocyclocheilus rhinocerous is the source of this 1525-nucleotide long non-coding RNA. RefSeq lists it as uncharacterized. NCBI's taxonomy places the organism in Eukaryota, Metazoa, Chordata, Actinopteri, Cypriniformes, Cyprinidae. The record is from RefSeq and is a predicted model, not a curated record. The transcript is spliced from 2 exons.
AUUUGCAGGGAGGGUGGGAUCUUAUGCAUUAAAAGCUAGCUUGCUAUUGCUAGCCUCUCCGAAAUCACCUACCCACCUUUAAACUCGUUGUGAAAUCUGUGCAAUUGGUAAUGUUCUCUCUCAUAUGAAAUUCCUGAUCAUUUGGAUUUUUUUUUUGAAGUGACUGGAUUUCCAAACUGAUCUCAUGAGAAAAGGUAACUCUUUUACGAGGUGGCAAUUUUGCAUGAAUGCGUAUGAUGUGAUUCAUAAGAAAAUGUGCAAUUUAAAAAAUAUAUGAAUUUGAACCUGUUGCGAAAUCUGCGAAAAUGGAAAUCUUUCGCCCUCAUGUAAAAUUCCUGAUCAUGUUGAUUCCUAUUGAAAUGACUGGAUUUCGAACCUGAUCUCAUGAGAAAAGGUAACUAUUUAACGAGGUGGUGAUUUCGUAUGAAUGCGUAUGAUGUGAUUCAUAUGAAAAUUGAACCUGUUGCGAAAUCUGCGAAAAUGGAAAUCUUUCGCCCUCAUGUAAAAUUCCUGAUCAUGUUGAUUCCUAUUGAAAUGACUGGAUUUCUAACCUGAUCUCAUGAGAAAAGGUAACUAUUUUACAAAGUGGUGAUUUUGUAUGAAUUUGUACAAUUUGAUUGGUGCAGAAAUGGAUGAUUUUUUGAAAAAUACGUAAGCAUGAAGGUCCACCCCUAAACUUAAACGUCAAUGGGGCGUAAGCAGAGCGUUCAAAAAGUAUAAAUGAGAUUGUACAAAUUUACACCAAUUGGUCACCAAUUUGCCAAAACAUAAAAUAGUUAAGUAUUGCCAUGUGUUAGUAUUGCGAUUUUGCCCGUUGAAAUUCGCCAAACAAAAAGGCAAAUGUGACCACAACUUUACAAUUUUUUUAGUAGUGCAGAAUACAUUUAAACAUAGUAAAAUGCCUUAAAUGUAAAGUACUACAGUCUUAUUGAUAGAUAAAACAUUUACCAAUUAACCAAAACAUAAACACAUAAGGGGCAGCAGAUAUAUAGAACGUUGCGAACAAACGUUCCAAUUUUCUCUUAAAUUUCUCUCUGAUUCCGUGUGGGCCUGAUGAUGUGGCAUUCUAAAUGCAUUGUACAGCUCUUAAACAAAGCUCAGCAGGAAAUGAGAGACAAAGACUAGUACAAAAAUAAAUCUAGCAUGUGAGGUAACAAAAUUAGGCAAUUCAAGUAAAACGUUCGAACAGAGAUGACAGAACACAAACUACAACGGCGAGCUAACUACAGGUAUCCUCAGCAGAAGACUGCAGAAACAUAUACUGCAUUGCGGUUUUUAAAUGUAAAAAAUAAUCUCUUUUUAAUUCAUAAUUUGAUUUAUGAGUACGAUAUUAACAUUUCAUUAGACUAAAAUACCUGCAGUUGCAAAACUGUGAUUGCGUCAUGUUACCAUGUGAACAUAAAAAAAGAAAUCAACUGAUAUGCUGUACUAUUUGGUGUGAAAGUGACUGAAAUGAAAGCAGAUCGCAGAGAUUCACCUCUCUGGCUUCGUCUGAAUGCACUAAAUGCAGAAAUGGUGCUGAAAA